RNAcentral lists this ribosomal RNA (481 nucleotides) under Streptococcus sanguinis. RNAcentral's name for it is "bacterial SSU rRNA". It matches the Rfam family "Bacterial small subunit ribosomal RNA", at positions 37 to 500 of the family's 1533-position model. Lineage: Bacteria; Bacillati; Bacillota; Bacilli; Lactobacillales; Streptococcaceae. The record is from RNAcentral.
UGGCGGCGUGCCUAAUACAUGCAAGUAGAACGCUGAAGAGAGGAGCUUGCUCUUCUUGGAUGAGUUGCGAACGGGUGAGUAACGCGUAGGUAACCUGCCUGGUAGCGGGGGAUAACUAUUGGAAACGAUAGCUAAUACCGCAUGAUAUUAAUUAUCGCAUGAUAAUUAAUUGAAAGAUGCAAUUGCAUCACUACCAGAUGGACCUGCGUUGUAUUAGCUAGUUGGUGAGGUAACGGCUCACCAAGGCGACGAUACAUAGCCGACCUGAGAGGGUGAUCGGCCACACUGGGACUGAGACACGGCCCAGACUCCUACGGGAGGCAGCAGUAGGGAAUCUUCGGCAAUGGGGGGAACCCUGACCGAGCAACGCCGCGUGAGUGAAGAAGGUUUUCGGAUCGUAAAGCUCUGUUGUAAGAGAAGAACGGGUGUGAGAGUGGAAAGUUCACACUGUGACGGUAUCUUACCAGAAAGGGACGGCUAA